This 688-nucleotide ribosomal RNA is filed under the name Escherichia coli. Its description in RNAcentral is "partial 23S ribosomal RNA". It matches the Rfam family "Bacterial large subunit ribosomal RNA", at positions 1 to 722 of the family's 2925-position model. The record is from RNAcentral. Lineage: Bacteria; Pseudomonadati; Pseudomonadota; Gammaproteobacteria; Enterobacterales; Enterobacteriaceae.
GGGUUGUGAGGUUAAGCGACUAAGCGUACACGGUGGAUGCCCUGGCAGUCAGAGGCGAUGAAGGACGUGCUAAUCUGCGAUAAGCGUCGGUAAGGUGAUAUGAACCGUUAUAACCGGCGAUUUCCGAAUGGGGAAACCCAGUGUGUUUCGACACACUAUCAUUAACUGAAUCCAUAGGUUAAUGAGGCGAACCGGGGGAACUGAAACAUCUAAGUACCCCGAGGAAAAGAAAUCAACCGAGAUUCCCCCAGUAGCGGCGAGCGAACGGGGAGCAGCCCAGAGCCUGAAUCAGUGUGUGUGUUAGUGGAAGCGUCUGGAAAGGCGUGCGAUACAGGGUGACAGCCCCGUACACAAAAAUGCACAUGCUGUGAGCUCGAUGAGUAGGGCGGGACACGUGGUAUCCUGUCUGAAUAUGGGGGGACCAUCCUCCAAGGCUAAAUACUCCUGACUGACCGAUAGUGAACCAGUACCGUGAGGGAAAGGCGAAAAGAACCCCGGCGAGGGGAGUGAAAAAGAACCUGAAACCGUGUACGUACAAGCAGUGGGAGCCUCUUUUAUGGGGUGACUGCGUACCUUUUGUAUAAUGGGUCAGCGACUUAUAUUCUGUAGCAAGGUUAACCGAAUAGGGGAGCCGAAGGGAAACCGAGUCUUAACUGGGCGUUAAGUUGCAGGGUAUAGACCCGAAACC